Solanum pennellii is the source of this 2926-nucleotide long non-coding RNA. RefSeq lists it as uncharacterized. The record is from RefSeq and is a predicted model, not a curated record. The transcript has 2 exons. NCBI's taxonomy places the organism in Eukaryota, Viridiplantae, Streptophyta, Magnoliopsida, Solanales, Solanaceae.
GCCCAGACCCUGUACGUGUUCUUUCUUCUAUUCUAGAAAUUCCAGUGACCCAGACGCAAAAGAAUAGGAGAUAAUCGUCAGCCGAGUCUAGCAACUUUAGUUGUAUCAUCUUCCGUCUCUCUCCAUCAUCCUCUCCGUACAGGAAUAGUCUAGGUGUCGAAAUAUCUUCGCCUCAUCAUCCUUGGUUUCUAAUCGAAUGGCUAGCCUUUCAAUACCGUUGAGGAUUGUAACAAUUUCAGCUAUUGGCAAACUUAUCUCCAGGGAAUUUGAAAUUCGAAUUCAUCCCAUUUUCCCUCUCACAAUCUCCGUGUUUUUCCCCUUAGCUCAGCACCAAUUUCUUCUGUAUAAACUCUCAUCUACUCUUUAUUGAAAUAAAAAUUUUGUUCUUGAAAAGAAUACUUAUAGUAGCUUAAAAAAAUAGAUAAGAACAUACACAUACAGACAGAUCCAAGUUGUAUUCAAAACAGAGAUCCCGCCUAGAAUUCCCACACAUCAUUUAAGUUCGAGUCGCAUAGUGAAGACAAUUUCCUUAAUCGCCCGUCUCUUGCUUGCUGCCACGGAGAAGGUGAACUCUCUCUAUAUCACAUCGUUUAAUCAUCAUUUUGUUUCAACAAAUAUAAAAUUCUCUGCUGCCAUUUCUCCUUCUAAUUUAUAAUGUUUUUUGCCUUUUGUGAGUUACCUUUGAUAGUAUGUUGAAGUUUUGUCUUGUUUCAAGUGUUGUGUUUUAUGAUUAAGCAGUGUUUUGUACAUGUGGGCUGCUCGUCCUCGAAUACCUUGAAGAUUGAGAACAGUAAUAAUAAUUAUGUCAUUUUUUUCCUUAAAGUUUGGAUGCUAUUUGUUACUUUCAGAUUGAAUCAUGAAUAUUUCGAGUUUACUCUUGUUUCUUCUACAGUUGUGAUUCGGGAAUAAGGUCGAAGAAUGCAUGUGUGGGCUGUGGGUUUUUCUUUGGAAUGGUUUUCCCAGUCCAGAAAUCGUGACGCUUCUUGUUUUAAUUUUUCAAAUCUUCCUAACUUAACCUUAUUUAAUUUCGAGAUUAUUUCACCUGUCUUAUUUUUUUUUCUUGUUGUCAUGAGUAGGAGUAAUUGCGUUGCACUAGAUGUUUGAGUCAUCCUUUAUCAUCUUAAGUUGGAUGAAUGAACCCAAAACACUAGUUAUUUGGAGUCAUUUCGUUGUAUCUGCGAUUCUUUAGCAAUUUCAUUGUCCACCACUAUUAUAGUUCUCGGCUUUACCUCUCAUGUCGAUCUUCGUUGCUUCUAUGAAUCUUGAGAUUAUUUUCGUUAUCUCUCAUAUCAGGUUGACUUGUUUGAAUAUUCAUGGUCUGUUUUUGCAUUCUUAUUGUAAGCUUAGAGUAUAUCCUUCCCUUGCUUGUUCAUUACGUCUAAAGUCUUCAUUCAUUUCUCUUGUUACUCGAGUUAUUCGUUUAGGCCGGGAUGAACCAAUAUAGGCAGUGUAAUAUGCGAUUUUAUUGAUAUUGUCACUAACUCUUCCAAUUAUGUUUUGUUUCACAAAUGUAUGUUUUCUCGGAUUCUCGCCUUGUUUGUCGAAUGGCCUUUGUGUUUGUUUGUCUCGAGUGUGUUGCAAUAAGGAUUAGUGGCAUGUUAUUUGUAGCCUCUUUGAGCAUUAAGUUCUCCUAGGUGAAUUUUUCAUUUUAGUGUGUGUUGAUAUAACUUGCUUUCUUCCUCCUAACAGUGUUCUUAUUCGCCAUGUGAAGUCGAUUCUUGUAUGCUCGAGUUAAGAUAGAUAGAAUAGUUGCUAGCUUGGUCAUAUGAUAAUAUCAUUAAGUUACUCUGUUAAGUAAAGGAUUUGUUAUCCUCAUACCUACUUAAAAUACGCAUGACCCACAUGUUUUCUAUUCCUAACAAACUUUGAUAAGUGGGAAAUAUUUUCGUUGAUGUUCUGGAAGUCAAAUCAUAGGUUGAAAAUUAUAUUUUGACAUGCUUAAAGGUAGUUUUCUGUGAUAGCUUUCUUAUGCCACCAUGAAGUUAUGUUUGCAAAUUAAUUCAUUUGAGCCUAGUUUUGGUCUUCUUCUUUGGCCCGCAUAUAGUUCAUAUUGCUUCUUUUUAUUUGUUUAUUAGUUAGGAAGUAUGGUUCAAUUAACAUCCUUAUCCCAACUUCAAUGGUUACUUUGGUUAGUUUCUUUUCUUUGAAUACAUGAUAAGAAUCCUAUGUCAAGAAGUCCGGUUAGUUUUCCACCAUGUGACGUGUGUAUGUCUUCCGCAGUGAGCUAGCUACUAGAUUAUGUGUGGGCUGAAAAUUAUAUUUUCUUUUUUAACGCUCUUCCAUGUGUUGUUAAUUAUUAGAUUGUGUGUGGGUUGAAAAUCAUUUCUCAUUACAAACUUUCUCCCAUUUUUUGUUGCAUGUGAAACACUUCUGGAGUCCAUUUGGAUUCCAUUUCCCUUUAGCGCUAUCUUUAUUGAGCCCCAAAGGCUCAAUCCUACCCUCUCCGAGUCGGCCAGCCAUCUUUAAAUUGGUCUGCAGGUUGAGAAUGGCAAUGGAAAUGCUGGAAAUUAAACUUUUCAACCCCGAAAAGUCAAAACCAUACUGAUAGAACGACUAUAUAAACUGGUAUACAGUCAGAAAAUACAAUAUGUAGGCGCAUGGACAUGAAAACACAGGCCAAUAAUACAGGACAUAAAUUUCAACGAAAAAUGCAGGUCUCGGAAGGCUCAAAUGGGUGUAAAAAUGAAAAUGUCAAGGGUCAAGGGCCACUUAUAAAUAGGACACGGGAUGAAGUUGGGCCCAUCAGAUUUGUGGAUUUGGGCUGAUAAACCCAAAUUAAUAUUUCUAUCCCUCUUCCUCUCUUUGUUUAUUCAUGUUUGACUAACAUUUUAGUUUCAAUUUAAUUGAUACUCAACGAUAGCCAUUCAUUCUCAUUUAUAUACAUAUAUUCAAAAUUAAUGUAUACAUAUAAUUUUACUUGGUUUUA